GUAUGCUGCGCGGUAGAGUAAAAGAGAAGGCAUGAUUUUGAUUUUCAUCGAAGUUUCGCUGAGCAGGCUAUCUCGCUCUUUCGCAAUUGCGAAAAUUUCGGACGAACUGUCAAACUGCCAAACAACCAUCUUGUUUUUGGAAAAGUUUUUUCAAGUCGCGUGCUGUUGGCAAAUUUCGUAAUGAUUUCAGUUUGCCGUGCCAAUCUCCUGCUAAAGCAGACAAGUCCGUCCCUGCAUCGUUGAUCGGAACCUGCCGGCAAGUUGUGACUCCCGGGUGGACACGGGCCCAGGAAUCACGACCCCAGAACAAAACGGGGAAGAUAUGAACCAGCCCUACGAGCCGCACCGGACCUGGUCGAAAUGUCCACGUUAAUCAGUGACACCAAGCUAACCACCAUAACAUCCCCAUUGGACGGUUCCUGUUCCGGCAGCUGCCAUCAGUUCCAACUGAACAUGCCCUUUUAAUAAGCCAUGGGUGAAUUUUCCGGCUGCAAAAUGUUCCGGCGUGGCCAACCUUCAGAGAACGGUGCUCAUUCGUUUGGGUCGUGAGUCCAAGAGCGAUAACGGGACCACCACCAAAACUUCGGAAGUUCGCAGCGGAAUCGGUGACGUUAAAGAAAAUCAACAGGUGCAACAAGCUCAAUGAACUUGAAUCCGUCCACGAAGAUGAAUCUGCUACAGGAGAUCCAAACCUAGCGCUGUCUAAAUUUCUGGUGGGCAAUCGGAACGCGGAACAGUUUAGUUUACCUAAUCGUGUCCACGAACAACAUUUUUUUCACCUCCCAGCCGCAAUCCGGCGACACUAAGCGAAGCUGCGGUGGCCAGCAGCAGCUACUGAAGCCGGUGUCCGGAAGCGCGCAAAAGUUGCGGAAAAGGUCUUACUCGGACCAGAAUCAGCUGCAUCGGCACCAGCCGGGACUUCUCCGAUGACGGAAUGGCGGAGAAGACGAUGAGGGUGAAGGUUAUGAUUGGGAGUCGGCGAGGCGUGACUGCGCCCAGUCAAAUCAAUCCGAAUUCUGAUCGCUUCAGCAGCGGUGCCCGGAGUCGUCCAGCAAGAUGAGCGGCGGUGGUGGCCGUGCCUACUUCCGGUACUUCAAUGCUGUGGUUUCGCUGCAGGAGUCGGAUCUUUUUGGCCUCGCAACUGUAACACUUGGAGAUGGCCCAGGAGCAGCUGAUGGCAGCGAAACCAGGGCAGCGGGAGCUUAGGUAAAAUAAUUUUGCACCAUCUCCAGAAAAUGGGAUCUGUGGAUCGAGCAGGACGUCGGCCCGGAAAUGAAAAAAGGUCACGUGCUGAAUUUUCGAAACAAAGGGCAUGUCGACGACCCCGCAGGACGUCAACAGACGGUCAAGAAGCUGAGGAACCAUCGGAGGCGUGCCACCCCGUUGACUAGGGAAAGUAGAAGCUGCCGUAUUAAAUACUUCCGUUACGCCCAAAGCGAUACCGGCCGCCAUCCGGCGCAAUGCUACGUGGAGUCAUGAAGAACAAAGACGUGAUCCUACCCAAGAUGCGUCGGUACAUCUAGCAAUCCCUAUUCGUUCUGUUGGAUUGUCCGCUGGAGUACAAGGGCGAACGUCACGCCACCGUGGAAACUGUCGGCGAUCAGAACUUUAGCAAGCUGCUGCAGGAGGAACAUGUGGCCAAGGUGUGUACCGAUAUGAUUGCCCCGCAACCUUGUCGGUUAGGAAAGAUUCGUUUCGACUGCAACGAUGUCGUGCGCUUGAAACCACGCUUCCUGACGUAGAAGUGACCUGAUCAGCGUGGUACUUCCGAAGGAGCGAAUGCCAGCAAGAACAGUGCAAGUGCAGCUGCUGGCUGAACCGGUGCCGUCCGUGCCGUCGCCUUUUCCAGCUUUACGGUCUUCAGCACGCCCACAGUGGCCGAAUUAAACAAAAGAUUCUGGUUCUUUUCCGUUGUGUAUGCUCGGCGCAAUCCGGAAUUUACACCUAGAAUGGCCAUGGCUCUACCAAUGUCCUCGGAACAACGCUGCUCGGAACAGGCUCUAAUGACGGUCACGGCUCUGUAGUCGCCGACAGGAACGAAGAUGGUGAAAACUCCAGUAAAUCAAAUGUUACGUAGAGGAUGGUCCUCAACCGCGGGAACGUGCGCGGGAACAUGGUCACGGACUGCGGACUGGCUCCCUUGCAUCUUCACCGGCAGCUCUUUUUAGUUCCCGCAUCAGAGGCAGCAAACGACGACUUGAACGAAAAACAACCGGUUGAUACGACCAAAAUUCCGCUCAUGCACGAGUGGCAUGGCAUGCUGCGAAUGUCACCGGAGGAACGGGAACGAAUUUCAAAGAAGACCCGGAACCUUUUAUAGAUCAACCGGCGGGCUGCCAACUCGUCAACCUUGGCCAGCGGUAACGACUUCCCUGCCUCGCUUCCGUAGAAUGUCAUGGGAUGACAAUUUUAAGAUCAAAAUGUAUGGUUCUGACAGAUUCUUCUCUUUGGCCCUUUAAGUGACAUAAUACGCACCGGCACAAGUUCACCGCCAAUUUUCUCAAGCACCAGUACCAUUAUCUACCACAGUUGUACCCCCGCGCAUCGUCGGUGGCCGGAGAAAGUAAAAGAUUUAAAGCCCGUGGGGGAGGGACAGUGUGGGUCUCGUGGCGCA
Long non-coding RNA from Culex quinquefasciatus (southern house mosquito), 2614 nucleotides. RefSeq lists it as uncharacterized. The record is from RefSeq and is a predicted model, not a curated record. The transcript is spliced from 6 exons. NCBI's taxonomy places the organism in Eukaryota, Metazoa, Arthropoda, Insecta, Diptera, Culicidae.